CCACGAGAGUUUGUAACACCCGAAGCCGGUGGAGUAACCUUUUAGGAGCUAGCCGUCGAAGGUGGGACAAAUGAUUGGGGUGAAGUCGUAACAAGGUAGCCGUAUCGGAAGGUGCGGCUGGAUCACCUCCUUUCUAAGGA
Molecule: ribosomal RNA, 140 nt
Filed under: Staphylococcus aureus
Lineage: Bacteria; Bacillati; Bacillota; Bacilli; Caryophanales; Staphylococcaceae
Description: partial 16S ribosomal RNA
Rfam family: Bacterial small subunit ribosomal RNA
Source: RNAcentral